RNAcentral lists this ribosomal RNA (439 nucleotides) under uncultured bacterium. RNAcentral's name for it is "partial 16S ribosomal RNA". It matches the Rfam family "Bacterial small subunit ribosomal RNA", at positions 339 to 795 of the family's 1533-position model. The record is from RNAcentral.
CUACGGGACGCAGCAGUGGGGAAUAUUGCACAAUGGACGAAAGUCUGAUGCAGCAACGCCGCGUGGAGGAUGACACUUUUCGGAGCGUAAACUCCUUUUAUAUCCCAAGAUAAUGACGGUAGGAUAUGAAUAAGCACCGGCUAACUCCGUGCCAGCAGCCGCGGUAAUACGGGGGGUGCAAGCGUUACUCGGAAUCACUGGGCGUAAAGAGCGUGUAGGCGGGUUUGUAAGUUGGAAGUGAAAUCCUGUGGCUCAACCAUAGAACUGCUUCCAAAACUGCUUACCUAGAAUAUGGGAGAGGUAGAUGGAAUUUCUGGUGUAGGGGUAAAAUCCGUAGAGAUCAGAAGGAAUACCGAUUGCGAAGGCGAUCUACUGGAACAUUAUUGACGCUGAGACGCGAAAGCGUGGGGAGCAAACAGGAUUAGAUACCCCCGUAGUC